GAGUUCAGAAAAAAAGUUUGGAAUUUGCUUAACCAAAGUGCUUUAAAUUCAAGAAGUUUCUUUAAUGCAGCCGCAGUUUCUGAUUCCGAUUGGGGAUGUAAAUUAUGCACUCUGUUGAACCGUAUUCGGUUCCAUUCGUUCACGGCAUCUCGCCCUUCUUCCCUGUUUGUCUGAAGUAUCGCAAUUCUCAAGGGUCACAUAAAGUCCAAAUUAUUGAAUUCUUUAUAUCAUCCCUUGUGAUGGAAUAGGGUCAAAGAUUAUUGUUUUAAGUUUUUCGAGUCAUUUUGAUAACCCAAUGGUACACCCAAGUGGGUUGGAGAAUGGAGAGGAACUGUCCCGCGAAGGGUACAAUGAUCUUUUAUGUGAGCUUUGCAGAUGGGGAGAUGUUGCAGGGGUGGAGCCAGGAAAAUCUGACAGUGGGUCAAUAUUCCAAAAAAAUUCUUAAUCUUCUCCUUGUUUGUAAUCGAAGAUUGAAUAGGUAUUGCAACUGGAAAAUUAUUGGUGAUUGAUAGCUCUUAGGGAAGUGAUAUUGUGCUAAAAAUGUCUCGAUGUUCAAGAAUUAUGCGGAGAAGUUAUUGAAAAAUGUGUUUAGAACUCUAAUUUCUUUAGCAUUGGAUGGGAAUUAUCCACAUUUAUUGACCGGUGGUUAGUGAAAUUCUAGUGUUAAAAAGAGGGCAAAUUUAUAGUUUUAGUGGAUUGCUUCAUAAUUGGGGCAAUUUCAUUAAAAUAUUGUAAAAAUUAAACGAAUUUGAUAGGUAAAUGUGGAGUCAGUAGGGUCAAGUGACCCCGCUUGACCCGUGGUAGCUCCUCCGCCCAUGAAACGCUGACAAUGCCAUGUCAUUGCUCGCUCGAAUGGUGGUUGUGAGCUUUCGUCCAAACGCAACCGCUUACAUCUGCUUGAUUACAGCUUGUGGAAAUGUUGGGAGGACUUCGGAGGCUAAUGCGAUUUUGCAAGAUAUGAUCCGUUCAGGAUUUAAGCCUAGACUGAAUGCGUAUAAUGUUUUCUCAGAUGCUUCUUGAGAAAAAGCCUCUUACGGGUUGCAAGUAAGGUUCUAGUGGAAAUAUAUAAGGGUCGUUUACGUGGUGUUGGAAGUCAUGGUGCUUAGGACAUAAUCUUGAGUACUGCAUGUUUCAGUAGAGUGUUUGGGUUUCAUAACUAUUCGGCUUAAUCGCUCUAAGUAACGGUUUCAUUGAUUUGUCAAUUUAAUCAGUUCAUGAUUGAAAAGGUUUGUUCAUCUACUACUGUUAAUAUCUAGGGCAUACAAAGAUUAAGCUUAAUCGCCCUAAUUAACGGAUUGAUUUAGUUUUCGUUUUAAUCUAUUGAUUGGAAAUUUUGUUUCUGUUUUUGUUUUUGCUUAGAACGCAUCAGGUGCUGAUGCUACUGCUGGUGAUUUGAAUGUAUUUCAACUCAUUCAAUCUCACCAAGUACUUUCUUUGAUUAUACUCAUAACUUCAGGAAAAAGGUGUAGUGGUUGGUGUUUUAUGGGAACUGGCAUGUUGGUUGUGAUUGCAGGAGAAGGCUUUUAGGCUUGCCCCUGUUGAAGAAAUUCGAACUGUUCCCGAUCGCAGCUUGCGCGGCAUGCUUUUCUACUUUCUCGUAGGUUUUAUUAUGCACUAAGUAUUUCAUUAGUUUCUAACUUUAUUUGGGGUAAUGGGGGUUAAUAUUGUUUCAUCAAUUCCAAUAUCUUCGGCAAUAUUACUAGGUAUAAUAUAAUCUUAUACUAGUUUAGAUAGGUAUUGGCAAUACUAAUAAUUGUAGGGAUGCAGUUGAAUUUGGUUCUUAUUUGUCAUGAAAGGUACUGAAAUUGACUUGUAGAUUGAGGUUGUCAACAAUAUAUAGUGAAGUGGAUAAUAUAGCCAAUGAUGCAGUUGCAAGCCUUAAAUGCUUUCUUCUUCCAUCUGUGUUUUUUCAGUGGCAUCUUCCCUGAUAGCUCGGAUCAUUUCCAUGAAGCUUCUCACUAUGUAGCCUCCCUCUAUUCAACGUUAGUACUCUCACCAAAAUGGUAAAGCCUUUUCAGAUGUAUGACCUUUACAAAAUGUAAGUUACCAAUGCUUUUUCCAUUUUUUGUGCUUUUGUUUUAGUUGUGUGUUUUGAUGGUGUGCGCGUGAAUAAAUAAAUAUAAUUUUUUUUUUUUACCGAAGGAAAAAGUUUUGGUUGUGCGUAUUGUGUUUAGGUGGUUCUCACUUCUCUCAGGUUCUCUCCAUAAGGUUAGUAAUUCAUACGCCAAGAACCCAUAAGGUUUAUCAUGUUGUAGUGUUGGGUUGUCGGGUUUUCAGUUUUUUAUUGCUUAUGAUUGUAUGGCGGGUUUAUGUGUCUAACAUGGAAUCAAGUAUCUUUGAGUACCUUACAUUAUUUUGAUUUUCAUUCCUUAAGUUUCCUUUUCUCAGUCCACUGGUGUUUUGACCGGAGUAGUUGUUUGCCAUCUUGUUGGUACAAGGGUAUAUAAUCCACUGAUUUUGAGGAUCCAAUUGAUGCACAUUUUAAACCCGUAACUGAAGAUUUUGAUGAAAUGUCUAUGCUCAAUGAAAUGUUGAGAGUGAUUGUCAUUUCGAAUACCUAGAGAAAGCCAAGAAAUUAUGUAGACCCCGUCUAAUUUUUUUUGGUAAAAUUAUUGACCAGUUGGUUUAGUUGACGUGUCCAGCUUUGAUUUCCAAAAACUUAAACCUGUUUUUUUUAGCAAAAAAAAUUAAACCUGUUUGGUUGAUGAUUUUCUAUUCUUAAUGUCACUGAUUUUCCAGAAAAUAAACUAUUUGUUGAGAAAACCUCAAAAGAAACUUUUUAACAAAUUGUGAAGCCGAACCCAAACAAGAAGUGAUGCCAAUUCCAAGGAGAAAAACUCUGAGAUUCUGUCUGCUAUGCAUACGUUUUCCCUUUGGCCCGUAAAAUAUAAGCGAUGUGCUAUCAUACAAGGAUGAAUUUUGAUGGCCUUCAACAAUACUCCUGAAGUUGAUUGGAAUAUGAAACUGUUCAUCUACUUCUAGUUUAAUGCCUUCCCCUGUCCGCAGGUUCCAUAGAUGUUGAUUCUACUGAUGCGGAGAUAUAUGCUGCAACAACUGAUUUUUCGCCAAACAGUGGUUCAAACACAUUUAUCCGAAAGAGCGGAAGAAGCUUAUGGAAAAUAUCUGUGGCAGGUUGGAGGAAGAAAUCCAAAAGGAGGCAGAGGGAACAGAAGAUGAGGGGACUUAUGUGAGCAGUAGAUGAGUGGGGCAUGCUUUAGCCUUUAUGUUGCUAUAGGAGUUUUUCUUGGUAUUUUUACUUGAGGAGUGUUUUCUUUUCUCUCUCUUUUCAUGUUUUUUAUUUUACCAGAAAUAAAAUUGAUUUAUAUAUAAAAUGAAAAUACAAAGGACCGGAACUUCAUCGGUCCAAAAAUACAGAAACACAAGAAGUUGUGGUAGCAGAAAGGAUGUGAUGAAUGAUAAACCAAGACUUGUUCCCUUUGAUUGGAAAGUACUGUUCUUCAAUGUAUCUAUCUCUAUUGCUAAAA
RNA transcript from Rhododendron vialii, 3485 nucleotides. RefSeq lists it as uncharacterized. The record is from RefSeq and is a predicted model, not a curated record. The transcript has 2 exons. Lineage: Eukaryota; Viridiplantae; Streptophyta; Magnoliopsida; Ericales; Ericaceae.